UCCGUGUCGCCAUGUUGACCCGUCCGUCACUGCAGUCUCAGUUCUGACCGCGCUCGGCUGCCGUGGUCGCUCUGGCGCUCCGGCUGACCGCUGACCGCCGACCGGGGACCCGGACCGGAGGAGGUCCGCCGCUGGGACCGGAGGAGUCACCCCGCUGCACCUGUAACCGGCGCGGCGUGCCGGCGGCACCUGCCGCUGCAGUGACCUCGCCGCCGCCGCCGCGAGUACGGCGGCGCGCCGCAUUAGCGGCCGGUUACGUGUCGCCCGCGCCCGGAUGCGGAGGCCCCGAGCUGCGGCGCCGCCGCACGGCCCAGCUCGCGGGCCGCCAUGCGUGCAAAGUUAAUAGCCGGCCGACAGGGACAAUGGAGCGCCGUCCGCGUGCCGUCCCGGAGGCGGCGGUGAGUCAGCCGGCCGCGCCCGUCGCUCCGCCCACACACAACAGACCAUUAGCGGGCGCAGCAGCCGUGCCACGCGCCGGCAGCCCGCGAGGAACUUAUAUAACAAAACAACAACAAACCGCCCCACCGCCUGCCGCGAAACCUACACCCAAACACAAAACUGCAGCAACAAGUCACCGCAAGACGAGAAACACCAUAAUCCGGGACUUAGCCAUAGUGAAUCGAUUUCCGAUGCGACACGGUUGAAUGGACCACCGACAAAAACCCGUUUCCGAUCCGUGGUUCCGAGGAAGACUUGUUCACUUUCGUUCUGCAAGUGUUGUGAUACGGCACGGCAGCUUUGGAAUGACGCGAUCCUGCCGCUCCUUCAUUGUUGGCUACCGUUUCGUGCAGACGGCGCGGCAGGAAACAAACGCUGUCAGGCGACCAACUGAUAAUCCACUAUUCCGUGUACCAAUGCAGUGUGCUAAUGUGGUACUAAUACAUCCCAAGUGUUCUGUUA
Molecule: long non-coding RNA, 900 nt
Organism: Amphibalanus amphitrite
Lineage: Eukaryota; Metazoa; Arthropoda; Thecostraca; Balanomorpha; Balanidae
Exons: 2
Source: RefSeq, a predicted model, not a curated record